UACGUAGGGACCGAGCGUUGUCCGGAAUCAUUGGGCGUAAAGAGCGUGUAGGCGGCCAACUAAGUCCUGCGUGAAAUCUCGGGGCUCAACCCCGAGCGGUCGUGGGAAACUGGUUGGCUAGAGUGCGGGAGAGGAGAGUGGAAUUCCUGGUGUAGCGGUGAAAUGCGCAGAUAUCAGGAAGAACACCAAUAACGGCGAAGGCAGUUAACUAUUCUGUUACUGACAUUGAGGCACGAAAGCGUGGGGAGCAAAACGG
RNAcentral lists this ribosomal RNA (256 nucleotides) under uncultured bacterium. RNAcentral's name for it is "partial 16S ribosomal RNA". It matches the Rfam family "Bacterial small subunit ribosomal RNA", at positions 524 to 776 of the family's 1533-position model. The record is from RNAcentral.